This 812-nucleotide ribosomal RNA is filed under the name uncultured bacterium. Its description in RNAcentral is "bacterial SSU rRNA". It matches the Rfam family "Bacterial small subunit ribosomal RNA", at positions 33 to 869 of the family's 1533-position model. The record is from RNAcentral.
ACGCUGGCGGCGCGCCUAACACAUGCAAGUCGAACGGCACCCAUCUUCGGAUGGAAGCGAGUGGCGAACAGCUGAGUAACACGUGGAGAACCUGCCCCCUCCCCCGGGAUAGCCGCCCGAAAGGACGGGUAAUACCGGAUACCCCGGGGUGCCGCAUGGCACCCCGGCUAAAGCCCCGACGGGAGGGGAUGGCUCCGCGGCCCAUCAGGUAGACGGCGGGGUGACGGCCCACCGUGCCGACAACGGGUAGCCGGGUUGAGAGACCGACCGGCCAGAUUGGGACUGAGACACGGCCCAGACUCCUACGGGAGGCAGCAGUGGGGAAUCUUGCGCAAUGGGGGGAACCCUGACGCAGCGACGCCGCGUGCGGGACGGAGGCCUUCGGGUCGUAACCGCUUUCAGCAGGGAAGAGUCAAGACUGUACCUGCAGAAGAAGCCCCGGCUAACUACGUGCCAGCAGCCGCGGUAAUACGUAGGGGGCGAGCGUUAUCCGGAUUCAUUGGGCGUAAAGCGCGCGUAGGCGGCCCGGCAGGCCGGGGGUCGAAGCGGGGGGCUCAACCCCCCGAAGCCCCCGGAACCUCCGCGGCUUGGGUCCGGUAGGGGAGGGUGGAACACCCGGUGUAGCGGUGGAAUGCGCAGAUAUCGGGUGGAACACCGGUGGCGAAGGCGGCCCUCUGGGCCGAGACCGACGCUGAGGCGCGAAAGCUGGGGGAGCGAACAGGAUUAGAUACCCUGGUAGUCCCAGCCGUAAACGAUGGACGCUAGGUGUGGGGGGACGAUCCCCCCGUGCGCAGCCAACGCAUUAAGCGUCC